RNAcentral lists this long non-coding RNA (726 nucleotides) under Dasypus novemcinctus (nine-banded armadillo). Its description in RNAcentral is "lncRNA (ENSDNOG00000052209.1)". The record is from RNAcentral. Lineage: Eukaryota; Metazoa; Chordata; Mammalia; Cingulata; Dasypodidae.
UGGCCGAGUUGUAGUUUGCAGAGCGGAUUAGGGGCUUCAGGCACUCUUGCAGAUCCCCUUUCUCAGGCCUCUAGCACCUCUCACUCCAGGAAUGGGAUUUUGCAAAGCCCUCCAGGAAAGCGAGUCGCAGCCCAGCUGGGAGGCCCUGGCCCUGGGGCGCAAGCGCAGAGCGGCGCCCGUGGUUCCUCGCGCCCUAGUCCCUGUGUUCUGCACCUGGGCAGCAGCGCUGGGAGGACCGGGUGCCGCCGCCCGCUCAGGCAUUGGCUAGGAGGGACGCGGAGCCGGGGUGCUCAGGAGCCUGAAUAAAACCGGGCCAGGUCCUGGGAAGCCUGGCGGGCGUUAGAGCGCCGCCCGGUCGCCCCUGGGUUUCCCUCUAAUCCUUCCGGCCUCCCCACGGCUCACAAACUGUGGUUCCGCCCCCGCCGCGGGUCCGGCCCGGGCUGUGUCUGGGCGCUUGGCCCGAGGUGGCGGCAGGAAUCCCGGCGUGAGAAUUGGACAUGAUCACUCAGUUGGAGGGAGAACAACUGUGGAUGCUGGAUCUUCAGGGACCUGAGGAGGGACGUGCUCAGACAGGCCUUCCUAGCCUUGCCUUUUCAGGACUCUGCUCUUUCCUGGAUUGGGAGCACGGAGGAGGAAAGAGCCUCAUAGGAAUGCAUAAUCCAAAUCUCAGUUUCAGGUCGGGUCCUGGAACUUGAUGCUGCAUCUCAGCAACUGAAGGCUCAUCCG